CGUACUGGCAUUGUUGGUUUCUCCCUUCUGACGAACCAUAAUGUCAUUUAUUUGGUGUUGUGGGGAAUCAGGACUGUUACUUUGAAAAAAUUAGAGUGUUUAAAGCAGGCUCACGCUUGAAUACAUUAGCAUGGAAUAAUGAAAUAGGACGUUUGAUUCUAUUUUGUUGGUUUCUAGGAUCGACGUAAUGAUUAAUAGGGAUAGUUGGGGGCAUUAGUAUUCAAUUGUCAGAGGUGAAAUUCUUGGAUUUAUUGAAGACUAACUACUGCGAAAGCAUUUGCCAAGGAUGUUUUCAUUAAUCAAGAACGAAAGUUAGGGGAUCGAAGACGAUCAGAUACCGUCGUAGUCUUAACCAUAAACUAUGCCGACUAGGGAUCGGAUGAUGUUAAUUUUUUAAUGACUCAUUCGGCGCCUUA
Molecule: ribosomal RNA, 416 nt
Filed under: uncultured Glomeromycotina
Lineage: Eukaryota; Fungi; Glomeromycota
Description: SSU rRNA
Rfam family: Eukaryotic small subunit ribosomal RNA
Source: RNAcentral